Molecule: ribosomal RNA, 253 nt
Filed under: uncultured bacterium
Lineage: Bacteria
Description: partial 16S ribosomal RNA
Rfam family: Bacterial small subunit ribosomal RNA
Source: RNAcentral
GACAGAGGGUGCAAACGUUGCUCGGAAUCACUGGGCGUAAAGGGCGUGUAGGCGGGACGGUAAGUCGGGCGUGAAAUCCCUAGGCUCAACCUAGGAACUGCACUCGAAACUACCAUUCUUGAGUGUCGGAGAGGAAAGCGGAAUUCCUGGUGUAGAGGUGAAAUUCGUAGAUAUCAGGAGGAACACCAGUGGCGAAGGCGGCUUUCUGGACGAUAACUGACGCUGAGACGCGAAAGCAUGGGGAGCGAACAGG